UGCGUAGGCGGGCUAAUAAGUCAGUGGUGAAAUCUCUCGGCUCAACCGGGAAACUGCCAUUGAUACUGUUAGUCUUGAGUUCGGUUGAGGUAGGCGGAAUGUGUAAUGUAGCGGUGAAAUGCUUAGAUAUUACACAGAACACCAAUUGCGUAGGCAGCUUACUAGACCGACACUGACGCUGAGACACGAAAACGUGGGGAGCGAACAGGAUUAGAUACCCUGGUAGUCC
Molecule: ribosomal RNA, 229 nt
Filed under: uncultured bacterium
Lineage: Bacteria
Description: partial 16S ribosomal RNA
Rfam family: Bacterial small subunit ribosomal RNA
Source: RNAcentral